Molecule: long non-coding RNA, 203 nt
Organism: Phalaenopsis equestris
Lineage: Eukaryota; Viridiplantae; Streptophyta; Magnoliopsida; Asparagales; Orchidaceae
Exons: 2
Source: RefSeq, a predicted model, not a curated record
UUUUGCUUUGAAUUGAGCAUGACAGGCAAAAGACAGGCUUGUAAAUGUCGGAAGUAUCACACAUUCUUACCCUUUUUGUUGGAGGUCUGACACUCCUCUUAUUUACAGGGCUGUCCCAAGCUGGUUCGUCGCUGUGGAAAAGAUUAAAGAUCAAUUACUGGAAUGUAACAAACAGACAUACUGGGUUCCCGAAUAUGUCAAGG